UGGGGAAUAUUGGACAAUGGGCGCAAGCCUGAUCCAGCCAUGCCGCGUGCAGGAUGACGGUCCUAUGGAUUGUAAACUGCUUUUGUACAGGAAGAAACAGUUCUACGUGUAGAACCUUGACGGUACUGUAAGAAUAAGGAUCGGCUAACUCCGUGCCAGCAGCCGCGGUAAUACGGAGGAUCCAAGCGUUAUCCGGAAUCAUUGGGUUUAAAGGGUCCGUAGGCGGUUAGAUAAGUCAGUGGUGAAAGCCCAUCGCUCAACGGUGGAACGGCCAUUGAUACUGUCUGACUUGAAUUAUUAGGAAGUAACUAGAAUAUGUAGUGUAGCGGUGAAAUGCUUAGAGAUUACAUGGAAUACCAAUUGCGAAGGCAGGUUACUACUAAUGGAUUGACACUGAGGUGCGAAAGCGUGGGGAGCAAACAGGAUUAGAUACCCUAGUAGUCCCUGAGCGGGCUGGCAAGGCGCAU
RNAcentral lists this ribosomal RNA (467 nucleotides) under uncultured bacterium. Its description in RNAcentral is "bacterial SSU rRNA". It matches the Rfam family "Bacterial small subunit ribosomal RNA", at positions 355 to 825 of the family's 1533-position model. The record is from RNAcentral.